UACGUAGGGUGCGAGCGUUAAUCGGAAUUACUGGGCGUAAAGCGUGCGCAGGCGGUUAUUUAAGUCAGGUGUGAAAGCCCUGGGCUUAACCUAGGAAUUGCGCUUGAGACUGGAUAGCUUGGAGUGCGGCAGAGGGAGGUGGAAUUCCACGUGUAGCAGUGAAAUGCGUAGAGAUGUGGAGGAACACUGAUGGCGAAGGCAGCCCCCUGGGCUAACACUGACGCUCAUGCACGAAAGCGUGGGGAGCAAACAGG
Molecule: ribosomal RNA, 254 nt
Filed under: uncultured bacterium
Lineage: Bacteria
Description: partial 16S ribosomal RNA
Rfam family: Bacterial small subunit ribosomal RNA
Source: RNAcentral